Molecule: long non-coding RNA, 245 nt
Organism: Engraulis encrasicolus (European anchovy)
Lineage: Eukaryota; Metazoa; Chordata; Actinopteri; Clupeiformes; Engraulidae
Exons: 3
Source: RefSeq, a predicted model, not a curated record
GAUGACCUGGCACCAAAACCGCUUAAUGUGUGCUGUGUCUGCAUCGAGGGAAGAACGCGGCACUGAAAUGACACAAAUGAAAGAAGAUUACUUCUGCUCUGCUGGGUCUGUGACACUAUUUAUCCGAGGAGUCCUCAAACAUCAGGAUGUAGGAAGACACAAGUAAAAGGAGAAGAAUGCUGCUCAGCUGGGUCGGCGGCCACACUACUUAUUCAAGAAGCUCUUGGAUAUCAUCGGCAUGUAUG